RNAcentral lists this ribosomal RNA (253 nucleotides) under uncultured bacterium. RNAcentral describes it as "partial 16S ribosomal RNA". It matches the Rfam family "Bacterial small subunit ribosomal RNA", at positions 524 to 776 of the family's 1533-position model. The record is from RNAcentral.
UACGAAGGGGGCGAGCGUUGUUCGGAUUUACGGGGCGUAAAGGGCGCGCAGGCGGCUCAUUUUGUCAGGCGUGAAAGCCCCGGGCUUAACCUGGGAACUGCGUUUGAUACGGAUGGGCUAGAGUUCGGGAGAGGAGAGUGGAAUUCCCAGUGUAGAGGUGAAAUUCGUAGAUAUUGGGAAGAACACCGGUGGCGAAGGCGGCUCUCUGGACCGAGACUGACGCUGAGGCGCGAAAGCGUGGGGAGCAAACAGG